CAGGUUAUUGCUAGGCAUAUUAUUAUUUACAUUAAUAAUUAAAUUUGUGCGAUUCAAAUUAAUCUGA
RNAcentral lists this transfer RNA (67 nucleotides) under Anaxandra taurina. RNAcentral describes it as "tRNA-Val". Lineage: Eukaryota; Metazoa; Arthropoda; Insecta; Hemiptera; Acanthosomatidae. The record is from RNAcentral.